GAUGAACGCUGGCGGCGUGCCUAAUACAUGCAAGUCGAGCGAACAGACGAGGAGCUUGCUCCUCUGACGUUAGCGGCGGACGGGUGAGUAACACGUGGAUAACCUACCUAUAAGACUGGGAUAACUUCGGGAAACCGGAGCUAAUACCGGAUAAUAUAUUGAACCGCAUGGUUCAAUAGUGAAAGACGGUUUUGCUGUCACUUAUAGAUGGAUCCGCGCCGCAUUAGCUAGUUGGUAAGGUAACGGCUUACCAAGGCAACGAUGCGUAGCCGACCUGAGAGGGUGAUCAGCCACACUGGAACUGAGACACGGUCCAGACUCCUACGGGAGGCAGCAGUAGGGAAUCUUCCGCAAUGGGCGAAAGCCUGACGGAGCAACGCCGCGUGAGCGAUGAAGGUCUUCGGAUCGUAAAACUCUGUUAUUAGGGAAGAACAAAUGUGUAAGUAACUAUGCACGUCUUGACGGUACCUAAUCAGAAAGCCACGGCUAACUACGUG
This 497-nucleotide ribosomal RNA is filed under the name uncultured bacterium. RNAcentral describes it as "partial 16S ribosomal RNA". It matches the Rfam family "Bacterial small subunit ribosomal RNA", at positions 28 to 507 of the family's 1533-position model. The record is from RNAcentral.